RNA transcript from Populus trichocarpa (black cottonwood), 3934 nucleotides. RefSeq lists it as uncharacterized. The record is from RefSeq and is a predicted model, not a curated record. The transcript is spliced from 14 exons. NCBI's taxonomy places the organism in Eukaryota, Viridiplantae, Streptophyta, Magnoliopsida, Malpighiales, Salicaceae.
UAAAAAUAAAAAAUAAAACACGGACACACCCACUAGUAAACACGCUCACUUGUUUGUGGCUUUCACUUUUAUCCAGAGGUCGCCUUCUCUUUCUCUCACACACAAGCUCAAAGCUCAGAGAUUCCUCCCCCUCCUCUUCUGCUUUUUUCUCUUCCUCACUGGCAAUCAUGAGUGACAAGGGAGACAAGACAUGCCCAUUGUGUGCUGAGGAGAUGGAUUUGACUGAUCAGCAAUUGAAACCAUGCAAAUGUGGUUAUGAGGUCUGUGUUUGGUGCUGGAAUCACAUUAUGGAAAUGGCCGACAAGGAUAACUCCGAGGGUCGCUGCCCAGCGUGUCGUACACCUUAUGACAAAGAAAAAAUUGUGGGGAUGGCAGCAAAUUGUGAAAGGCUAGUAGCUGAAAUGCAUUCAGAGAGAAAACUGAAGUCCCAUAAGGUGAAGCCAAAAACAUCUGAUGGAAGGAUGCAUCUAAGCAAUGUUAGAGUCAUUCAAAGGAAUCUAGUGUAUAUAAUUGGAUUACCUCUUAAUCUUGCAGAUGAAUCCCUUCUUCAGCGAAAAGAGUACUUUGGCCAAUAUGGAAAGGUUCUGAAGGUGUCUAUAUCUCGAACCGCAACAGGGGCAAUUCAACAUGCUGCAAACAACAGUUGUUGUGUGUAUAUAACAUAUGCAAAAGAGGAUGAAGCAGUUCGUUGUAUUCAAUCAGUGCACAGUUUUGUCUUAGAAGGUAGAUCCUUGAGGGCAUGUUUUGGAACAACAAAAUACUGCCAUGCAUGGCUGAAAAAUACGCCUUGCAGCAUUCCGGACUGUUUAUAUUUGCAUGAUUUUGGCUCUGAGGAAGAUAGUUUUACAAAAGAUGAUUUAGUUUCAGCCUUUACAAGGAGUAGAGUACAACAAAUUGUUGGUGCUACAAAUAAUUUGCAUCGGCGUUCAGGAAAUGUUUUGCCACCCUCAGCAGAUGAAUCCACCAAUAGGAACAUAUCAUCCACGGCCAAACUUGAUGCCAAUGCUUCUUCAAAUCAAAAUAUUGUGAACUGGGAUAGCGGGUCAUGUGCGGAUAGUGGUGCUGGAAGAUCCAAUACACUUCACGGGGCAUCUUCAUGGGUUACGCGUGUCGCUGGCAGUUUGCCACCAGUUACAAGUUUGUCAUCAUCAGGUGGAACUCCCAAUCAUAAACCUGAGACAUCACAUGGGGACCAUGGUCUUGCGCCAGAAGUUGUGAUCACCAAAAGUUCUGGUGAUAUAAAAAGAACCAUACCUGAAGGAAGCUGUGAAGUGCAUCCUGCCAAUCUAACAUUGAUUGACCAUUUUCCUUGUCCUCCAGCAUCUCAGGACAGUGCUAGUGAUACUGAUGAACCACCAGCUGGAACUAGCCCUUCAAAAAUCACUAAACUGUCCUAUUUUACUGGUCUGGAUGAAGAUGAAAAUUUUCAUGCAGAUGGGAACUUGCAGGGACUAUGCUCUGGAUUAUCAUCAAUUAGCAUUGAUGAUCACCUUAAGGAUGAGUACCGUGAACCUGUUACUCCAGAUAUUUCAAUUUCUAAUCAUAAACUGCCCAAAAGUCAAGGCUCACAACCUUUUGUGAGCGAGCCACCUAGUAAUUCUUCAUCCUCGCCAACACUGAGAGAAUGUGCAAUUGUUGAGGAUUUACUAUGUUUUGAUGAUCGGGAAGUCCAGGGCUUUGGAAGCAUCCAUCAUGAACCACCCAUUUCAUCUUUACUUUCUCCAAAACAGUAUUUGGAGCAGUCAACCUAUCAUUCCUGGCAGCAAGGCGAGAAUUGUCAAAGCACUAUUGAUGUACAUCCAAGCAUUGUUCCUGCUAAGCAUGAUGAGGUUGCUUUUCCAUUCAGAUCUGGCAACACUGUUUUGUCUAAAGGGUUGCAUGACAGGCAAGCUAAUGGCCUUUUUGAGUGGGAUAGGUCUUCUAACUAUUCUAGUGUCUUGUCAGAGGUAGGACCGGGGAAGUGCUUGGAAGAACAUGGUAGUAAUGUAGCUAGUAUUGACUAUAAACUUGAUCUAGAUACAGAUGAGAGCAGCAUUAUCUCAAAUAUUCUAUCCAUUGAUUCUGGUGUAUGGGAAGAUUCGUUGACAUCACCUCAGAGUUUUGUCAAGUUGCUGGCUGAUAAUGAUAAACAACAAAGUUGCCGCAAAAUACCAUGCAUGCGAAAAGCACAGGAGAGUAGUCAAUCAAGGUUCUCAUUUGCCAGGCAGGAUGGUUUCUCUAAUCAUUUGUCUAAUUUUGAGCAUUCACUUGAAAAUGCAACAAAUAAAUCUUCUUCCUCAAAUUAUAUUAUUGAAAACAAGGAUCCUUGGAUGGACAAUUAUCGUGGCAUCUCUUCAAAUAUUAGUUCCGUGGAAUCAAAUGGUUUCCUCAGCAAGCAUCCUUUUACAUCUAGUUUUUCUGUUUCCAAAACUUCCACUUCUCCCCCACCAGGAUUCUCAGUGCCAAGUAGAGUUGUACCUCCAGGCUUUCCUACUCAUGGGGCAAUGCACUAUGAUUUUGACCAUUCUGCAAAUCAUUUUCUACAAAACUCUGCACCACUAUCUCGGAACAUUGGCAUCUCUGGGGAUGUUGAAUUCAUUGAUCCUGCAAUAAUGGAAGUUGGCAAAGGAUUUCUGUCAGCAAGGCUGAAUAAUCCUGGCUUUGAUGCAAAGCCAGCAUUAUCUCCUCAUUUUAGUCCUUUUGAUCAUGAUUCAGAGCUUCAGAUGCUGAUGCGGCAAUCAAUUUCUGCACAGCAGAACAUGAGGUUAUCAGAUCGCUUCAGGAAUAGAUUCUCUCCCCCAGAUGAUACUUACUCCAUUUCACCUGUGCUUCUGGGUCAAUCCCCGCCCAACAAACCUUCAUCAUUUACACAGUUGACGGCUCAACAGCUUAGAAAUGUGCACAUCUCAAAUGGCAGUUUGGGUGGUUGGAAUGAGGUAAAAAAUGUUAGUGAUCCUUGUAUGCCAGAAUUCCUAGGAAAUGGAGGGAUGGGAUUUAGCAAAUUUGUUCCUAGUUAUGAGGAUUUGAAGUAUCAGAUGUCUGGUUCCAGCAAUCUAUACAACCGAGGAUUUGCAAUGUGAUUUCUGCUGGGGAUUGGAAUUACUCCUUUAUGCUUGAAUAGGCUGAUGAACUUAACAUAGUGGUUAAUUUGGUGCGUUCUAAGGUGCCCUUGGAUGAAUAUGUUUCAGUUUCUUUGUGUUGGUGCAUAUUGGUUGUUGGCAAACCCUAGUCAGGUGUAUUCUUUGCCUCUCUCAUGACCAGGGACUUCUAUCUUCUAAUGGAGCGAGUGAAAAGGCAGUUUAUUGUCAUGGCAGAAUUCAGUGUGGGCUGCAAGGGAUUCCUAUGCCUCGAGUGACUGGGAUUGCUCUUGGCUUCACUCUCUGUGGUACAUCUGAGUUGAAUGGUUAUUCCAUUUAAUCCAGAUUCAUGUUCAUCAUGCAUCAUUAUUGACAUCUUUUUAUCCACAUGAAGAGGUUAGCUGGGAAAAGAACACUGGUUUUAACAAUGCACAUUUUGGCAGUUUUUUAGACUUGGAGUGAAUCUGUCGUACUCACGUCUUACAUGAAUAAAGAAGGUAUUUGGUAGUUGCACCUAAUUCAGAUAUGUUCAUCAUCUUAACAAAUAGGCCCAAAGCUAGAGUUCAAAUGGAAAACUGAGGCUUCCUAUAGAUAAUAGAAAAAUGAAGGUCUUCGUUUCUUUCCUUCCUUUUUUUAAUGUUGCCUUAUAUGAAUGAAAACAGAGUUUAAACUAUUGUUUGUCUCCCGUUUCUUUCUCCUCCCAUAAUGAGUUGUGCCAGUGAAUCUAUUUGUCCUUGCAUUAUGGGGGGGGGUACAAGACAACAUUUUCGAGCUUGUUUCUGGAUCUGUAAUGUAGCCAAUUGAUGUUUUGGUCAAUAUUGCUUGUUAAGCAUACAUCUGAUUUGAAAUGGAAUAAGAAAAUGAACCUAUUUAGUGUC